This 515-nucleotide ribosomal RNA is filed under the name Enterococcus faecium. RNAcentral describes it as "bacterial SSU rRNA". It matches the Rfam family "Bacterial small subunit ribosomal RNA", at positions 60 to 546 of the family's 1533-position model. The record is from RNAcentral. Lineage: Bacteria; Bacillati; Bacillota; Bacilli; Lactobacillales; Enterococcaceae.
AGUCGAACGCUUCUUUUUCCACCGGAGCUUGCUCCACCGGAAAAAGAGGAGUGGCGAACGGGUGAGUAACACGUGGGUAACCUGCCCAUCAGAAGGGGAUAACACUUGGAAACAGGUGCUAAUACCGUAUAACAAUCAAAACCGCAUGGUUUUGAUUUGAAAGGCGCUUUCGGGUGUCGCUGAUGGAUGGACCCGCGGUGCAUUAGCUAGUUGGUGAGGUAACGGCUCACCAAGGCCACGAUGCAUAGCCGACCUGAGAGGGUGAUCGGCCACAUUGGGACUGAGACACGGCCCAAACUCCUACGGGAGGCAGCAGUAGGGAAUCUUCGGCAAUGGACGAAAGUCUGACCGAGCAACGCCGCGUGAGUGAAGAAGGUUUUCGGAUCGUAAAACUCUGUUGUUAGAGAAGAACAAGGAUGAGAGUAACUGUUCAUCCCUUGACGGUAUCUAACCAGAAAGCCACGGCUAACUACGUGCCAGCAGCCGCGGUAAUACGUAUGUGGCAAGCGUUGUCC